Molecule: long non-coding RNA, 273 nt
Filed under: Saimiri boliviensis boliviensis (Bolivian squirrel monkey)
Lineage: Eukaryota; Metazoa; Chordata; Mammalia; Primates; Cebidae
Description: lncRNA (ENSSBOG00000036751.1)
Source: RNAcentral
UUGCCCAGACUGGAAUGCAAUGGUGCAAUUUUGGAUCACUGCAACCUCUGCCUCCCAGGUUCAAGCGAUUCUCCUGCCUCAGCCUCCCGAGUAGCUAGGACUACAGGCACCUGCCAUAACGCCCAGCCAAUUACUCUCUCGGUGCUGGACAAAGAUCAGACCAGGUUUGAGGAACGCUGGAAAUGAAAUUUAUGGAUAUCUAUUACUUCUACUCAUAAGCUUUAUCAAGCAAAAACAGAAAGUUCCUUGAAGGGUAUAUUGCACCAUUUUCCC